RNAcentral lists this ribosomal RNA (924 nucleotides) under uncultured Bacteroidota bacterium. RNAcentral describes it as "bacterial SSU rRNA". It matches the Rfam family "Bacterial small subunit ribosomal RNA", at positions 1 to 917 of the family's 1533-position model. The record is from RNAcentral. Lineage: Bacteria; Pseudomonadati; Bacteroidota.
UGGAUCCAGACUUUGAUUCUGGCUCAGGAUGAACGCUAGCUACAGGCUUAACACAUGCAAGUCGAGGGGCAGCGGGAUUGAAGCUUGCUUCAAUUGCCGGCGACCGGCGCACGGGUGAGUAACGCGUAUCCAACCUUCCGUACACUCAGGGAUAGCCUUUCGAAAGAAAGAUUAAUACCUGAUGGUAUGAUGAGAUUGCAUGAUAGCAUCAUUAAAGAUUUAUCGGUGUACGAUGGGGAUGCGUUCCAUUAGGUAGUAGGCGGGGUAACGGCCCACCUAGCCAACGAUGGAUAGGGGUUCUGAGAGGAAGGUCCCCCACAUUGGAACUGAGACACGGUCCAAACUCCUACGGGAGGCAGCAGUGAGGAAUAUUGGUCAAUGGACGAGAGUCUGAACCAGCCAAGUAGCGUGAAGGAUGAAGGUCCUACGGAUUGUAAACUUCUUUUAUAAGGGAAUAAACCCUCCCACGUGUGGGAGCUUGUAUGUACCUUAUGAAUAAGCAUCGGCUAACUCCGUGCCAGCAGCCGCGGUAAUACGGAGGAUGCGAGCGUUAUCCGGAUUUAUUGGGUUUAAAGGGAGCGCAGACGGGUCGUUAAGUCAGCUGUGAAAGUUUGGGGCUCAACCUUAAAAUUGCAGUUGAUACUGGCGUCCUUGAGUGCGGUUGAGGUGUGCGGAAUUCGUGGUGUAGCGGUGAAAUGCUUAGAUAUCACGAAGAACUCCGAUUGCGAAGGCAGCACACUAAUCCGUAACUGACGUUCAUGCUCGAAAGUGUGGGUAUCAAACAGGAUUAGAUACCCUGGUAGUCCACACGGUAAACGAUGGAUACUCGCUGUUGGCGAUAUACUGUCAGCGGCUUAGCGAAAGCGUUAAGUAUCCCACCUGGGGAGUACGCCGGCAACGGUGCAACUCAAAUGAAUUGACGGA